GGACUACUAGUGGCGGACGGGUGAGUAACGCGUGGGUAACCUGCCUCACACGUGGGGGAUAGCAGUUGGAAACGACUGAUAAUACCGCAUAAGCGCACAGCAUCGCAUGAUGCAGUGUAGAAAAACGUCCGGGGGUGUGAGAUCGGACCCGCGUCUGAUUAGCUAGUUGGCGAGGUAACGGCCCACCAAGGCGACGAUCAGUAGCCGGCCUGAGAGGGUGUACGGCCACAGUUGGGACUGAGACACCGGACCCAAACUCCUACGGGGAGGCAGCAGGUGGGGAAUAUUGGACAAUGGGGGAAACCCUGAUCCAAGCGACGCCGCGUGGGCGAUGAAGUAUUUCGGUAUGUAAAGCUCUAUCAGCAGGGAAGAUAAUGACGGUACCUGACUAAGAAGCACCGGCUAAAUACGUGCCAGCCGCCGC
This 424-nucleotide ribosomal RNA is filed under the name uncultured bacterium. RNAcentral's name for it is "bacterial SSU rRNA". It matches the Rfam family "Bacterial small subunit ribosomal RNA", at positions 86 to 518 of the family's 1533-position model. The record is from RNAcentral.